Molecule: ribosomal RNA, 492 nt
Filed under: uncultured bacterium
Lineage: Bacteria
Description: partial 16S ribosomal RNA
Rfam family: Bacterial small subunit ribosomal RNA
Source: RNAcentral
AGUGAACGCUGGCGGUAGGCCUAACACAUGCAAGUCGAACGGCAGCGCAGUAAGAGCUUGCUCUUACGGGUGGCGAGUGGCGGACGGGUGAGGAAUACAUCGGACUCUACUUUUUCGUGGGGGUUAACGUAGGGAAACUUAAGCUAAUACAGCAUACGCCCUACGGGUGAAAGCAGGGGAUCUUCGGACCUUGCGCGAUUGAAUGAGCCGAUGUCGGAUUAGCUAGUUGGCGGGGUAAAGGCCCACCAAGGCGACGAUCCGUAGCUGGACGGAGAGGAUGAUCAGCCACACUGGAACUGAGACACGGUCCAGACUCCUACGGGAGGCAGCAGUGGGGAAUAUUGGGCAGUGGGCGCGAGCCUGAUCCAGCCAUACCGCGUGUGUGAAGAAGGCCUUCGGGUUGUAAAACCCUUUUGUUGGGAAAGAAAAGCAGCAGGUUAAUACCCCGCUGUUCUGACGGUACCCAAAGAAUAAGCACCGGCUAACUUCGUG